RNAcentral lists this transfer RNA (85 nucleotides) under Daphnia magna. It matches the Rfam family "tRNA". Rfam says of the family: Transfer RNA (tRNA) molecules are approximately 80 nucleotides in length. The record is from Rfam by way of RNAcentral. Lineage: Eukaryota; Metazoa; Arthropoda; Branchiopoda; Diplostraca; Daphniidae.
GCCUUCUUAGCUCAGUGGUAGAGCGUUGGUCUCGUAAGUAAACGAAGAUAACCAAAGGCCGAGAGUUCAAUCCUCUCAGAAGGCA